This 30-nucleotide non-coding RNA is filed under the name Mus musculus (house mouse). Lineage: Eukaryota; Metazoa; Chordata; Mammalia; Rodentia; Muridae. The record is from RNAcentral.
UGCAUUCAGUAAAUCCACUAGCCACUCGGA